UGACAGGUGUUCUCUAUUCCCUUGAUUACCUGCUGAGGAGUAUAUAAGGAGGAGGCUGCCAGCAACUCACUGCCAGAGUGUUCCCCUUAGUGGUACAGCUCAAGCCACAUUACCAUGUCUUGUCCUUGCCUUGAACUUUUAGUAAUCUGAAUCUGUUACCUUGCAGGAUUACCUGAACCUGACCUUGCCUUCCGCGUGGAACUGCCUGGAUUAACCAAUUCUGGAAAGAAGCGAUCCAGCUCCAUGAACAAAGACUCAAGCCUCUCGUUACCUUGUUGGACCACACAGGUAAACAACCAUUUGGUCUCUCCGCUCUCCACCCUCUGGCGGAUCAUUCCAUCAACCCAGUAAGGCAGAAUUAUUGUUCAUUAAUUUUGACCCUGAGUUUUCCCUGCUUACAAUCCUGUUUAUUUUUACAGUUGGUAUCCCGGUUCUAGUUUCCCUGUUCACUACACUGCUCUGUAAAUAAAAACUUCACCGUAAACGUCUGUCUCCUGAAUUGCUUUCUGCAUGAGGGUCAACUCCGUUAAAAACAUUAUGACAUUGGGCAGUGCAACGUCUGCUUUAAAUAAGAUCACGAAUGAGAAGAAGAUGUCUUUUAUCUACCUCAAGUCUCCCAAAUUGAAGAUGUACAGAAGAUGGGACUUUUUGCAUGUUUGUUCUCUGUCGUCAUCAUUGUUAUGUUGGUUUAUUACUUUCCAUGUUUUUUUUUAUCAAAGCUUAUCAGGUCUGACAGAGCUGUCUCCACAUCAGAACAACUGAGACAUGUAACCGUAAAGGUAACCCUAAGAAUACCACAGUGGCAGCAAGGAUUGACCUCUGUGACGUGGUACCCCGCAGAGGUUAUGACAGUUGGUUUCAGAAUGCAGAUGUGUACAUUUGUGUCCGCACACCUGGGAGGCUAGCAAUUGGAAAAUGGUAUCCGGACUGGACUUAUGUGUACUGGAAUUUAAAUCCAAAAGGUUAUGUCAACCCAAACUCUAACUAUGUUCCACAGAGCCUGCAGCAACACAUCAGUUUGAUUAGAGACAAGUCCACUCGAGCUGACACCACCAGAUAUAAUCUACUGGUAAUAACUGUCAGAGAAAUGUAGAAGAAUCCCUGGCCUACUGUUAAUCAUGCAGAACUUAAUGAACUUGUUUUGGUUUUAGGAGCUGAUGUCUCUGGAAGAGACCCACUGGGAUUGUUUCGAAUUCAGUUUGUGGAUCAACCUAAACCUCCUGAUGAAGUUCUAGAUAUUACUGGUGUUAGCCCUUCUCCUAGCCCAACCACACCUCCUCAAGCAUUGGUCACUUACUUAAAUGUCUCAUCACCUGAAGUAAUAUUGCAGGUUGAAACUAGAUUUUCUGAUAAAAACACCUGGUUAGAAUGGAUAACAUUUACUGCCAAAAGCACUAACAUGACAGAGUGUAUUGCCUGUUCUUCAUCCAGACCACAACUUUUCACUACUCCUGCUCUCCCACGUGGUGUUCCAGAUGAGUAUAAGUUAGCCAAUCCUAUAGUCAAUGGGUUUGAAUCAAUAUUUCUUUGGAUUACUCCUAACAAAAACGUUGAUCGCAUUAAUUAUGUCCACUACAAUAUGCAGCACUUAGCAAACAUCAUCAGAGAUGUAAUGGUCGGCAUAACUGACCAAUUAACCUCCAGUUCUCUUAUGUCUUGGCAAACCAGAAUGGCUUUAGACAUGUCGUUGGCUGAAAAGGGAGGUGUUUGUGCCAUGUUUGGUCCUUUAUGUUGUACUUUUAUUCCAAAUAACAGGUCCUGAUGGCUCAGUAACCAGAGCUCUGGAUGGAUUAUGCACCCUGGCUCCCUGGUACCCUGACUCUGGUGCUGAUUCUUUGUCUGAUAGGUUUACUGCUACCUUUGGUAAAUGGAAGGUUUUUAUCAUUGCAGGUAUGCCUUCUUUUGCCACCUUUGCAGGUAUCCUCUUUUGCUGUGCCCUGCCUGCUUACUCUAAUUAAUAGAUUGAUUACCUCCAGGUCAUAUCAGAUGCCUCUCCUCACAGGUGAAGGGGAACCCUUGGAUUGCUCUGAUGAGUCUGAAAGUGAUUCUCAUGAUGAUGAUGCUUUCUAAUAAAUUUACCGAUAUUCAAUUUACAUCUAUUCAAAUAAUCCUCCUAAUUCUAAUGAUGUAGAUGUGUACUGAACACACACAGGGUAGAUAAUAACUCAUUAUUUCUGUUUGCUAGUAUAUUGGUGUACUAAUAUAUUCUACUAUAUUUUCUUCAUUUAAUUCUUUUGAGUGUUUGAAUUUUGUAUAUUAUUUGUGUAUUCAUUUUAUCUGAUCAUUCCUUAAAAGGUUGUUGAUUGGAGAGAUGUUUUGUUUCCAACAGAAUGAUAAAUUGUUUCCAACAAAGAGGAUGACAGUUAUAGUAGUUUAGUGUUGUAGUGUUUAGGUUUGUAAAAAUGUUUCAUUAUUCAUUUUACAUUAUUUAGUCAAUUUUUAUUACUACUUCAAUCAAUUUUUGAUUAGUUUUUAUUCACUUUAUUACUAAUCGAUUCACAUUUUGAAAUUGAUUUUCUUGUACUUUCCUUCAUUGUCAUUCAGUAUAAAGUUUCUUGGGUGUUCGAUAACAUAUGAAACUUGUUUCAUUAUAAUCAAAGAGGAUGGAUUGCUAUGGAAAAUUUUAGUGCCUUGUUUUCUUUGCUCCUUGAUUCUCUACAGGAACUGACAAAAGUAUUAGAACCCCUCAGUGUUGUUCCAUUCUUCUCUUAUUUAGUCUUACAGUAAUAGCUUCUCAGCCUUUCGCUUGCAGCUGUGUGAGAUAAUAUGUAUGCCACACUGUUAAGAUUAUGUCUAGGACAACAAGUUUCUCGCUCUGUAUCCAUCCCACUUUCCAUGUGUCCCAGAUUAAACCUAUCCUGACCAGCAAUUUGUGCCCUCCCCUUCACCUGCCCGUGACCUUGAGGGGCACCCUGUCUACUAAAUCCGAAAGAUAGUGGACUCCCGUCGGCGGGGUCGUGUCUGGCAGUACCUCGUCGACUGGGAGGGUUACGGUCCUGAGGACUGAUCUUGGGUGCCCCGUUCUUUUAUUUGUGAUCCUUCUUUGAUUUGAUUUGAUUUGUGAUUAUCAGUCUUCGCUUCAGUGCACCUCUUCUGGGCCGCCAGGCGUCGGCCGUUGAGGGGGAGGAUGAUGUUGGGGUCUGGGAGACUUUGUCUCCCCCUUUCUUGCUACUUCCUUAUUCCUCCCCUAGCCUGUCUGAACAUGGUGGCUGGGUGCUGCACAGGAGUUGCACAUCAAGCCUCAUCAGCAGAAGGUUAAGAAGAGUCUGCUGCCAGCACUUCGAUGACUGAGUGUUAACCAACUGUGGUUGCCCUGUGUUCUGGAUCCUGCUCCAGCUCGUUUCCUGGUUCCUGAACUUACCUCCAUGAAUUCACGUUAUCUCCUUGGACUGAAGUUUCCGGCUGGCAGCAGUCUGACUCCUCCCUCCUCGGAUUUUCCUAUGAUCGAACCGUGCUCACCCUCCACCAUGUUCACCUUCCAAGCCGCCCUGCAAAGACCA
Molecule: long non-coding RNA, 3500 nt
Organism: Girardinichthys multiradiatus
Lineage: Eukaryota; Metazoa; Chordata; Actinopteri; Cyprinodontiformes; Goodeidae
Exons: 3
Source: RefSeq, a predicted model, not a curated record